GAUGAACGCUGGCGGCGUGCCUAAUACAUGCAAGUCGAGCGAACAGACGAGGAGCUUGCUCCUUUGACGUUAGCGGCGGACGGGUGAGUAACACGUAGGUAACCUACCUAUAAGACUGGGAUAACUUCGGGAAACCGGAGCUAAUACCGGAUAAUAUUUCGAACCGCAUGGUUCGAUAGUGAAAGAUGGCUUUGCUAUCACUUAUAGAUGGACCUGCGCCGUAUUAGCUAGUUGGUAAGGUAACGGCUUACCAAGGCAACGAUACGUAGCCGACCUGAGAGGGUGAUCGGCCACACUGGAACUGAGACACGGUCCAGACUCCUACGGGAGGCAGCAGUAGGGAAUCUUCCGCAAGGGGCGAAAGCCUGACGGAGCAACGCCGCGUGAGUGAUGAAGGUCUUCGGAUCGUAAAACUCUGUUAUUAGGGAAAAACAAACGUGUAAGUAACUGUGCACGUCUUGACGGUACCUAAUCAGAAAGCCACGGCUAACUACGUG
This 497-nucleotide ribosomal RNA is filed under the name uncultured bacterium. RNAcentral's name for it is "partial 16S ribosomal RNA". It matches the Rfam family "Bacterial small subunit ribosomal RNA", at positions 28 to 507 of the family's 1533-position model. The record is from RNAcentral.